RNAcentral lists this unclassified non-coding RNA (269 nucleotides) under uncultured fungus. RNAcentral describes it as "sequence contains ITS1". Lineage: Eukaryota; Fungi. The record is from RNAcentral.
GUAUAAGGUUUAUAGGCACAAGGGCCCAAUAUUACAUUCUGUUACAUACAUUGGGGUAUAUGAAAAACGUAGACCCGGAAAUGCAAAGAAAGCCAGCUGAUGCCAGCAAUCCUCCCGACCGAGUUGCCUCGGAAAGUCAAUCCAAGUCUACAAGAGGUGCACAGGUGGAGAGAUGAGGAUGGUGGGCGUGCACAUGCCCCCGAAAGGACCAGCAACAACCACACCAAGUUCAUUCAAUAAUGAUCCUUCCGCAGGUUCACCUACGGAAA